Molecule: transfer RNA, 84 nt
Filed under: Danio rerio (zebrafish)
Lineage: Eukaryota; Metazoa; Chordata; Actinopteri; Cypriniformes; Danionidae
Description: tRNA-Leu (CAA) (tRNA-Leu-CAA-60-1, tRNA-Leu-CAA-60-2)
Rfam family: tRNA
About the family: Transfer RNA (tRNA) molecules are approximately 80 nucleotides in length. Their secondary structure includes four short double-helical elements and three loops (D, anti-codon, and T loops).
Source: RNAcentral
GUCAGAAUGGCCGAGUGGUCUAAGGCGCCAGACUCAAGUUCUGGUCUCCUGAUGGAGGCGUGGGUUCAAAUUGCACUUCUGACA